Molecule: ribosomal RNA, 586 nt
Filed under: uncultured beta proteobacterium
Lineage: Bacteria; Pseudomonadati; Pseudomonadota; Betaproteobacteria
Description: bacterial SSU rRNA
Rfam family: Bacterial small subunit ribosomal RNA
Source: RNAcentral
CCUACGGGAGGCAGCAGUGGGGAAUUUUGGCACAAUGGGCGCAAGCCUGAUCCAGCAAUGCCGCGUGCAGGAUGAAGGCCUUCGGGUUGUAAACUGCUUUUGUACGGAGCGAAACAGUCCAUUUUAACACAGUGGGCUAAUGACGGUACCGUAAGAAUAAGCACCGGCUAACUACGUGCCAGCAGCCGCGGUAAUACGUAGGGUGCGAGCGUUAAUCGGAAUUACUGGGCGUAAAGCGUGCGCAGGCGGUUAUAUAAGACAGAUGUGAAAUCCCCGGGCUCAACCUGGGACCUGCAUUUGUGACUGUAUAGCUAGAGUACGGUAGAGGGGGAUGGAAUUCCGCGUGUAGCAGUGAAAUGCGUAGAUAUGCGGAGGAACACCGAUGGCGAAGGCAAUCCCCUGGACCUGUACUGACGCUCAUGCACGAAAGCGUGGGGAGCAAACAGGAUUAGAUACCCUGGUAGUCCACGCCCUAAACGAUGUCAACUGGUUGUUGGGUCUUCACUGACUCAGUAACGAAGCUAACGCGUGAAGUUGACCGCCUGGGGAGUACGGCCGCAAGGUUGAAACUCAAAUGAAUUGACGG